GGGCAGCUAGCCAGUGAUGGCAUGCGAAUCUCGAAAGCCUAUCUCAGUUCGGAUUGGAGGCUGAAACCCGCCUCCAUGAAGUUGGAUUCGCUAGUAAUCGCGCAUCAGCCAUGGCGCGGUGAAUACGUUCCCGGGCCUUGUACACACCGCCCGUCAAGCCAUGGGAGCCGGGGGUGCCUGAAGUUCGUUACCGUAAGGAUCGACCUAGGGCAAAACUGGUGACUGGGGCUAAGUCGUAACAAGGUAUC
Molecule: ribosomal RNA, 248 nt
Filed under: uncultured bacterium
Lineage: Bacteria
Description: partial 16S ribosomal RNA
Rfam family: Bacterial small subunit ribosomal RNA
Source: RNAcentral